RNAcentral lists this ribosomal RNA (351 nucleotides) under uncultured bacterium. RNAcentral's name for it is "partial 16S ribosomal RNA". It matches the Rfam family "Bacterial small subunit ribosomal RNA", at positions 338 to 681 of the family's 1533-position model. The record is from RNAcentral.
CCUACGGGAGGCAGCAGUGGGGAAUAUUGCGCAAUGGGCGAAAGCCUGACGCAGCGACGCCGCGUGAGGGAUGAAGGUCUUCGGAUCGGAAACCUCGGUCAGCAGGGAAGAACGGUCACAGGGCUAAGCAGCAGUGAAUUGACGGUACCGGCAAAGGAAGCACAGGCUAACGCCGGGCCAGCAGCCGCGGUAAUACGGAGGGUGCGAGCGUUACUCGGAAUUACGGGGCGUCAAGCGCUCGUAGGCGGUAUGUCAAGUCAAGGGUGAAAUCCCCGCGCUCAACGUGGGAACUGCCUUUGAAACUGGCAAACUGGUGUGUGUGCGCGGUUAGUGGUAUUCCCGGUGUAGGCG